CCUACGGGUGGCAGCAGUCGAGAAUCAUUCACAAUGGGGGAAACCCUGAUGGUGCGACGCCGCGUGGGGGAAUGAAGGUCUUCGGAUUGUAAACCCCUGUCAUGUGGGAGCAAAUUAAAAAGAUAGUACCACAAGAAGAAGAGACGGCUAACUCUGUUCCAGCAGCCCCGGUAAUACAGAGGUCUCAAGCGUUGUUCGGAAUCACUGGGCGUAAAGCGUGCGUAGGCGGUUUCGUAAGUCGUGUGUGAAAGGCGCGGGCUCAACCCGCGGACGGCACAUGAUAAUGGGAGACUAGAGUACAGGAGGGGGAGCCGGAAUUCUGGGUGUAGCAGUGAAAUGCGUAGAUAUCGAGAGGAACACUCGUGGCGAAGGCGGGUUGCUGGACAGUAACUGACGCUGAGGCACGAAGGCCAGGGGAGCGAAAGGGAUUAGAUACCCGAGUAGUC
Molecule: ribosomal RNA, 446 nt
Filed under: uncultured bacterium
Lineage: Bacteria
Description: partial 16S ribosomal RNA
Rfam family: Bacterial small subunit ribosomal RNA
Source: RNAcentral